GAAAUGUUGAAAUGAAAAUUAUUAGUGCUUGAGAACAGUGAGAAAUAACGGGAACCAAUUGCAUAUGCUCAGGAAAGUCGUUAUUUUUACAGAUUACACAUUGAUAGGCCAAUUGUUGUGUUCAUGCUUUUUUACCUCUUGAUUUGAUUUCCUUGGUCUGAUCUUCACGUUUCCUUUCUAAUAUUGUAGACAAUAAGCCAAGCACUGGC
Molecule: unclassified non-coding RNA, 209 nt
Filed under: Hevea brasiliensis (rubber tree)
Lineage: Eukaryota; Viridiplantae; Streptophyta; Magnoliopsida; Malpighiales; Euphorbiaceae
Source: RNAcentral